UUAGGCUUUGGCGUGCCUGCGAAGAAGAUCUGAUCUCGCGGCACGGCCCGAGAAUUAAAACAUGGAGAGGCCUGAGGAGGUGGAGGAAGCAGGUAAUCCGAUUUUAGGGUUGGAAGAGGAGGAAGUCGCCAUAGGGAAAUGGGGAUCUGGGCCUGUUCGUGCUCUAUCUUCACCAACAGGAGGAGGAAGAGGUGCCCAUGGACGGAGAGGUGGCCAUGGAGUGGGAGGAGGGCGCGGGGUGGCCGGGGUUGGCCGCGGAUCUCUGAAUCUGGCCCCGGGAGGAUUAGGCCAUGGUUCUGAGGCGGCUCGAGGAGGGGUUGCCCCGGGAGGAGGAGGCCAUGGUUCUACUCUAGGAGCAGGACCUCUUCGUCAGAAGUUUAAGCAUCGAGCCAUUGUCUGGGCACAUUGAAAUGUCUUUGGCGGCAACAACAUCACAAGAUUCAAAUGGCUGGAAGAAGUUUGGUGCUGGAGAGAUCGUUAGUGGCUGCAUACACAACAUUGAAGCAUUUGGGAUCUUCAUCAGCCUUGCCAAGAGCAAUGUGGUUGCUUGUGUCAUGUCUCUGAAGUGUCUUACGAUUUUAUUCAAGACUUGUCAACACUUUGCAAAGUCGGCCAAUGGGUUCAAGUAAAGAUUCUAAAGGUUGAUGCGGAAACCAAACGUAUAUCUCUUGGAAUGAAAGCGUCAUAUCUGACCCCUGAGGAUGGCAUCGAGCCGAUGGAGGAAGAAGCUAUAAAUAAAGAGCCUUCGAACACAAAUGUGCUCAUGGAUAAUGAUGAGAGGGAGGAGGAGGACUACUUGGAUCUGGCAUCAAAACGAUUCCCACAGCUAUGCAUGUUGAUCCACUCUCAACAAAGACGUUGAGGAUACAGUGCCAAUUGACUUGAAAGAGCAGAGUUACUUCUUGUUUAUAUUUAGUCUUCUCAUGUCCUGCUUCUCGACAGGGAGGCUGCAGCAAAAGAGCAGUUAUUACAGAAGGACCAGCCUCCAGAGACCAAGGACGACUUUGAAAGGCUUGUAGCAGCGUCACCAAAUAGUAGCUCCAUGUGAAUCAAAUGCAUGGCUUAUUGGUUGUGUCUUGCGGACCUGGACAAGGUGCGAGCAGUGGCUGAAAGGGCAUUGGAGAAGAUAAUUUAUUGAGAAGAAAUGGAAAAGAUGAACAAAUGUAUGGCUUGCACUCA
This is an RNA transcript of Selaginella moellendorffii, 1179 nucleotides long. It is a transcript of the gene named glycine-rich protein DOT1, with no coding region annotated. The transcript has 4 exons. Lineage: Eukaryota; Viridiplantae; Streptophyta; Lycopodiopsida; Selaginellales; Selaginellaceae. The record is from RefSeq and is a predicted model, not a curated record.